RNAcentral lists this unclassified non-coding RNA (154 nucleotides) under Coniochaeta ellipsoidea. RNAcentral describes it as "partial internal transcribed spacer 2". Lineage: Eukaryota; Fungi; Ascomycota; Sordariomycetes; Coniochaetales; Coniochaetaceae. The record is from RNAcentral.
CAACCCCCAAGCCCCGCUUGGUGUUGGGGUCCUACGGCUGCCGUAGGCCCUGAAAGCUAGUGGCGGGCUCGCUAUAACUCCGAGCGUAGUAGUAACAUAUCUCGCUAGGGAGUCGUCGCGGGUUCCGGCCAUGAAAGCCCCAUCUUUUACACAA